UACAAGAUCCCUACGAAAAGUAAAAACGAGCGAGAAAAAUUAAAAAAAAAACCAAAAACUCGAUCACAAUAACAAUAAUUCUACAAAAAAAAAAAAACAAAAGGAAAAGUAGAUACAAAAUACACGUCGUUUUCAUCUCAAAUUUUCUACGAAAAAUUUUAAAAAAAUGAAAAAAAAACCUCCUCGAUCUCUAAUAUCUUCAUUGUUACUUGUGAAAACUACA
Molecule: long non-coding RNA, 223 nt
Filed under: Ananas comosus (pineapple)
Lineage: Eukaryota; Viridiplantae; Streptophyta; Magnoliopsida; Poales; Bromeliaceae
Description: long non-coding RNA (ACOM_LNC023230)
Source: RNAcentral